AUUGAGCAAGGAACAGCAAUACAGGGGGAGGUGGAAGACAGGAAACUUCAGAGAGUUUAUGCCUGCCAGUGAGGAACACCUGAUCCAGAAAUCAGGCUCUGGCGCUGUGCAGAGCAGGGAAAGUAUGCUUGAAUUGAUACCUAAGACCUGGCUGAUACAUACCUCAUAGUUAAUCUGGUUAUGCGGGGUUUAUUUCACAGUCGGAAGUUCUUGCGCUGGAAGGGAGUCCUGCUGGGGUUUUCUGAGCACACGAAUGAAUUAAUGAAUGAACCAAUGCAGCUUGCCAGCCCAAAUUUAAACUGCUUGCUAGAUCAAAAUCUGCUCAUUUUGCCUUUUGCCUGUCUUUUUUUUUUUUUUUUUUUUUUUUUUUCCCCACCCACUCCGUCUUUUAUUUAUUAAUUAUUUGAGAAAACAGAUAAAGAGCACGGAAAGUCCCUGCGGGCAUCAUCAAGACAGCAAACGCAGAUAGAUGGCUGUUUUUCCACGCUGGCCUGAAUCCUGAAACCUAGACUUUGAGCCACGGUCCUGGGUGGGGAGGUCCCCGGCAGAGGCUGGUGGGUGGCCGGUGCCGGCCGUGGGCCGGGGGGGGGGCGAGGAGCCGCCACCGACAACCCUUGUCUGCAGGUCUUCCAGUGGGUCUUCCUUCAGUGCCCAGGAGGGCAUUAAAACAGGGAACCCCCGCUUUGAACAGACAAGAAAAAAUAAACCCGGGCUGCUUUUCAGGGAGGGUCGCGUCGCUUCUGUCUUUCAGAUCCACGCUGCCUUUGGUAUUAGCCCGUUGUCAGACUUUAAUGGGCACUUGCAAACAGGAUCUCUGGAAUAUUUUGAUUUAUUUGGCCACUGGGCAGACCUCCAGCCUGCCGUCUUGGCCGCCGCGUUUGUAUUUCAAUAGGAGUUUUAAGAAGGCUCGGCUAAGGGUAUUUAAGGUAGUCCCUGAGCUUUCAUGCAGGCUUUCUCAGCCCCGAGUGAAAACACAGCAGCGAAGAGAUGCGGCGGCGGGUUUUUAAGAAGCGGGGACGCUGUGACGUGCCAGCACCGAUGACCCCCCCCCCCCCCGCCCCCCGAAGCCCCCCUCCGAUCACCGAGCUCCUCUCGCACCGUCGCGGCUCCAUUUCGCGUCGCGGCGUCCGGGCUCCUUAACGCGGGGCCGGGCCGGGCCGGGCCGGGCUGCCGGCAGCGCUCGGCGGCCGGGGCCGGGCUCCGGGGGGAAGGACGGACGGCUGCUCACCCCCAUCGCGCUCCCCAGCAAGGCCAGACGUCUCUCCCGUCACCCCUUCCCCUCUCCCCGCCGCUCCCCCCCCGGCACUGGGGUGCGCUGCCAGGAGGUAACGCGUGGGUGCUGGGGAGCUGGCGGCGGCGAGACCCGGACCCCCGAGCAGAGGGGAUGGGAGGCAAAUGUCGCUCGUUCAAGGCGAAGAGCAGUGGUGGCGUGAAGGAAAAGCAGCCUGUGCUCUGCGCCGAAGCCUGGAGACCUUCCCGAAGAUUCACUGCCGUUCCGUUUUUGUUUUUUUUUGUUUUUUUUUUUUUUUUAUGGCGUCUUAGAUACGCAUUUUAGAGCUCGUGGAAAGAAGAGGCUGAUAAGCAAGACAGAAUUCUGCCAACGCAUCCAGGUAUCCGGAGCUGCACUGCCCUGGCUCUCCCUCCCCUUCCUCUCCCUGCGCUGCCGACAGCCCGAGCAGGGAUGGAUAGCUGUGCUGCCUGGUGCCGUGGAAGCACGCAGGCAUCUGCUACUGCAACGUUGACCAGGUUUCCUUUCCUCAGCUAGAGACUCUACUGCGAAUUUUAAUCCAGCUCUUUGGAAGCGCAAGCCUGGUGUGCAAGCACUCUGCCUGCUGCUGGCUUAACCCUGCCUGUUUGGAGCCCGACCCCUGAGGAGGAUGAGGCAGGGUCAGCACCGAGGCGCACUUCUGCUACUCGCCGUCCCAAAGGGAGCUGAGGCACUUCAGAAAUUAAAAGCUGCUUUGACCUGAGCGAUUCAGCACCCUAGUCAAGCGAGGAGCCAAAGAAGUUUGGCCUUUUAAGGGGUCGCGGUGGUCACCUACCUCAUGCACUCUGGGAAGCUGUUUGGUCGCUGAAUACCAAACUGGGGAACAGUCCCAGGCUCCCCAGCCGCGACCUGGAAGCGACUAAAACAGGGAGGUCCAUGGUGGAUGAUUUUAAGAGGCACCUCAGCAUGUCAGUAAGAUCUACAGUCGUUUGGUUGGAGGUUUCAUCAAGUCCCCUGUGUCGGCAGGAGGCCCCUCGGAGCCAGCGAGCUGUGUGCGGCUGCCCUCCUUCCUCACCUGCCUCUCCCCGUGGGGCAGGCAGAGGGGCACACACCGGGAAGAAGGGAAGCUCGAGGCCCCACGGCAAGCUUGAGCUGCUCUGCUUGGCGUCCCCACACCUACGUACCCCUCCUACAGCAACCAGCUGCCCUGAGAGGAGAAGGUGUGAUCUCAGCGCAUUGCACGGAUCCACGCAGAAGGCUGGGGGGCACGAGGAUAAAUAUCAAGGCACCUGGGAAAAGGCUUGCCUGGGCGAUGAAAUGAUUGUGAAGUGGUACAUUAAUUCAGGAGGAAGGAUUCAAAAAGCAGCCCGUCGUAACUUCAAACUUCACCAGCUUGCUGUACCAAGCAUCCCUUGAAAUGCUAAUUAAAACGAGCUGAGGGAGAGGAGCCUGCUAACAGGAUCACAGCCUCGCUUGGAUUGAGUAAUAAACAUGUAGUAGGCAUCCGUGUUUCCCUGUAUGCAUGCUUUCCAAGCUGAGCUGACUGUAAAUGUUGCGGUUAUGUGAAGCCCACACAGAGUAGGAUGCAAACACAAACUAGAAAGAGAGGCAAGGCCUAGUCACCAAGCUGGAAGAGAAAAAAACACGACAGUCUUCCACAAAUAAAUAAAUAACUGCCUGAAAUGAGGGCUAAUUAACUUGCAAUAAACCAACUUAACCACUUAGGGGCAGCGUUAACACAGAGUUAACAUGCAAAACAAACCUGUAUUUUCUCACCUGGUUAAUUUGAUAUGCAAGGUGAAUAUUCAUAGUGUAUGAAAUCCUGAUACAUCAACACACCAAAUGAUGCAGUCUGUCAAACCCGCGAAUGUGUGGCAAUAGGAGUAACUCAGUUGCUGCUCACACGGUGUUGACUUUGAUCAGUUGGUGUUUCUAAACACAUUCAUAGAGGCAGGACUUUGCUGCUUUUCCUCUGUCAGGGUCAUGGAGUAUGUUCUAUACAAAGAUUAAACCCUAAAAAAGGAGAUGAAAAAGGGCUUCACUUAAAAUAAACAGAAGAUGAAAUGGAAAAAAAAGCUGUCUUUGAGAAAUGCUGCUCUUGCAUGCAGGAGCUGAAAACCCCAUUUUAUCUCCACAGCCACAUUCAGAGUCACUUUGCUUUCAGAUAAUAUGUUCCUUUCUCUACCUCGCAUUCAAAAAAGUCCCCGUUCCUUGGAUUCCUGUGAAACAUUUCCUUGCAUAAAAAGGAGCUCAGACCCGCUUCAGGAUGGCCAGCACAGCCCGGGGAGAUUUGGUCCCACAGCUCCUAGGAACUGGAAGGAGAAUGGCAGGGCUGAGUCGUCAUGCAUUAUGCUGAAUAUUUACCCCUCAUGCAUGCUAUUUUAUUUUAAAUCUAGCGUGUAAUAUGCUUUGCAUCUAGCGUGUUGCUCUUGUGUGUUUUUCCCUUGCCCUGACUGUCUCUUGCUGGCAGCUGCCAUCGCAAAACAAAAGGCAGCUGCCAGUUUGAGUGAACAUCUCUCUCUCUCGCUCACUCUUUCCCCUCUUGCUCUUGGAGCUGAUGCAACACCACUUCACAGGCUGGGUAGCAGGCACUGAAGCAAGAGGGGUUUGCUGCCCUUGGGGUGCUUGGGCAUGCAGUGCCUCCGAGAUUCGCUGCCAGAGCUCAAAGCCGUGUUCAAGCUCUUGAACCUGGCUCAGCUGUAGCCAAGAGACUAUCAGCUGUCUCCCUGCCAGCAUACCAGCUCAAGCUUUCUCCGUUGCAGCAAUUGCCCAUUUCACAGGAUUUCAUGCUGCUGCUUUUGGCAAAGGUGAUGGUUUAUUAAAUAUCACUUUGGUCUUCUGCCCCAGGAUGUGUAGUCAAACGCAGGGAUCUCCUGCUCCACACAGGUGGUAUUCCUACAUCAGCUGAAAAAAAAAACCUGAAAAAAGCAGGACUGAACUGAAACGAUACUUGGAAGAAGAAACUUUCUUGUGUCAAAUAAAAGUACCAUGGGGAGAAAGUGGGAUGAGAUGCCAGGACCUAGACCCUCAGGCCAGCUGUGAGCCUCGGCUGCUGCUGUUCUUUGGCCAGUGGGAAUGCGCAAAGUGCGAGCUGCCUCACAUGUUGACGGAGCGCAUCUGAAACUCACUCAGGAUAGUUAUCCCUUGGCUCCUUUUAAGACUGGCUAACUCCAUGUUCUAGGAUACUCGAGGCCAUCAGGGGGGCCAGUUCAGCUGCUUUUUCCAGAGCUGGAAAAUAUGGAAGAGACGUUUCUGCUUUUCUUGGGGAGCCUUUAACCUGAGCUAUAAUGAGAACUUGCUUUGGGAAAACAAGUUGAACUCUUGACUGCUGCAAAUAGCCAUGGGCUGGGUAAAGCCUCUGAGAAGGGAGUGUUUCCUGUGGGGAGAGGGGCAGAAAUGAAGUUUGCUGGAGCUGCGGUCACUGGCACAUCCAUGUAUUUGCUUAUCUCUCUGGGCUGUGGUGACGGGGCUGGGGAAGAGGUGAGGCACACGGGGCAGAAACCAAGCAGGACCCCGAAAGAUAGCAUAACAGGAAAAAGCUAAGUAAAUGCAAGCCUCAGUUCCAAUCAGGAAAGUUAGGAAAUGAGAUCUGAAACACCCUCUUGGGAGUCUGGUGUGUGCUGAAGAAGAAUACUGAAAUAAAUUCUUAUGCAAGCUGUAUCACUGAUUGUCAGAGAAACUGAGCCCUCACUUCUUUCCUUUGUGGCAAUUUUCUUUCAGACAGCUCCUGUUUUGUUUUUCCAUAAUAGAAAUGGGUAUCCUCAUGUCAUUCACUGUAAACAUUUUUACUGAAAUUAUGUGAAUAUGGAUUUGUUCUGAGGGACAGGUUGGAAAGAUCCUGCCUUGCCCGGUUUGCCUGAUAAUAAAGUCCAAAAAGCAGA
Molecule: long non-coding RNA, 5088 nt
Organism: Tyto alba (common barn owl)
Lineage: Eukaryota; Metazoa; Chordata; Aves; Strigiformes; Tytonidae
Exons: 2
Source: RefSeq, a predicted model, not a curated record